This 762-nucleotide ribosomal RNA is filed under the name uncultured bacterium. RNAcentral describes it as "bacterial SSU rRNA". It matches the Rfam family "Bacterial small subunit ribosomal RNA", at positions 95 to 858 of the family's 1533-position model. The record is from RNAcentral.
CCGGCGCACGGGUGCGUAACGCGUAUGCAAUCUACCUUUAACUGGUGAAUAGCCCGAAGAAAUUCGGAUUAACACACCAUAAUAUAUUAGAGUGGCAUCACUUUAAUAUUAAAACUCCGGUGGUUAAAGAUGAGCAUGCGUGACAUUAGCUAGUUGGUGAGGUAACGGCUCACCAAGGCUACGAUGUCUAGGGGAUCUGAGAGGAUUAACCCCCACACUGGUACUGAGACACGGACCAGACUCCUACGGGAGGCAGCAGUAAGGAAUAUUGGACAAUGGUGGAAACACUGAUCCAGCCAUGCCGCGUGAAGGAUGACGGCCCUAUGGGUUGUAAACUUCUUUUGUACGGGAAAAAACCUCUUUACGUGUAAAGAGCUGAUUGUACUGUAAGAAUAAGGAUCGGCUAACUCCGUGCCAGCAGCCGCGGUAAUACGGAGGAUCCAAGCGUUAUCCGGAUUCAUUGGGUUUAAAGGGUGCGUAGGCGGAAUGAUAAGUCAGUGGUGAAAGCCUGCAGCUUAACUGCAGAACUGCCAUUGAUACUGUCAAUCUUGAGUACAUUUGAUGUGGGCGGAAUGUGUCAUGUAGCGGUGAAAUGCUUAGAUAUGACACAGAACACCGAUUGCGAAGGCAGCUCACAAAACUGUAACUGACGCUGAGGCACGAAAGCGUGGGUAUCAAACAGGAUUAGAUACCCUGGUAGUCCACGCUGUAAACUAUGAUUACUCGAUGUUUGCGAUACACUGUAAGCGUCUAAGCGAAAGC